This is a non-coding RNA of Pelobates cultripes (western spadefoot toad), 528 nucleotides long. The record is from the annotation of a GenBank genome assembly. Lineage: Eukaryota; Metazoa; Chordata; Amphibia; Anura; Pelobatidae.
UUUUUCUCUUUAAACCUAGCAAAGGCAGUUUUUAGUUUUGUUGAAAUUGCUGUAUCCAGUAAAAUUUAGCAUAGCAUAGCAACGAUCGUAAGUAGUGCUUAAAGGAACACUAAAAUCCCAUGAUUCUUUAUAGGGGGUCAUUGUUGUAAUGGAGCUUAGCGUGAGUAUCCCCACUAAUUAGCCUCCCUUACUCGGCUCAAACGUCCUAAAUGAUUAUAGCAGUAUCCCCAAAUACCAGUUGAGACUUGUACAACAAACACACUUUAUUGGACCGUGGUCGUUCUUUGAUCCAUCAUACAGUUCCAUGCUGUCAUUUCGGGCUUGCAAACUAACCCCCCAGUCCAUCAGUUAGUGUUACAGUGGCCGGGUAGCAAGGAUCAGGGGCGCUCACUGUGCUGCAUCUGCCAUGCAAGUUUUGGGGGUACUGGGGCUGGGAGAAUUAUAGUUCUCAGUUCUCUGUGACAGUGCUCCCUCCUUGACCAACAGUCUCUGGUAGGCAUAGGUAGAUACUGACUGUUUGGCUUGGAG